Molecule: ribosomal RNA, 402 nt
Filed under: uncultured bacterium
Lineage: Bacteria
Description: bacterial SSU rRNA
Rfam family: Bacterial small subunit ribosomal RNA
Source: RNAcentral
UGGGGAAUAUUGCGCAAUGGGCGAAAGCCUGACGCAGCGACGCCGCGUGUGGGAUGAAGGUCUUCGGAUUGUAAACCACUGUCGGGAGGGACGAAGCUCUGACGGUACCUCCAAAGGAAGCACCGGCUAACUCUGUGCCAGCAGCCGCGGUAAUACAGAGGGUGCGAGCGUUGUCCGGAAUCACUGGGCGUAAAGGGCGCGUAGGCGGCUUGAUAAGUAGGGGGUGAAAUCUCAUGGCUCAACUGUGAGGCUGCCUUCUAGACUGUCUGGCUUGAGCACAGUAGAGGCGAGUGGAAUUCCCGGUGUAGCGGUGGAAUGCGUAGAGAUCGGGAAGAACAUCGGUGGCGAAGGCGGCUCGCUGGGCUGUUGCUGACGCUGAUGCGCGAAAGCGUGGGGAGCAAA